CUACGGGACGCAGCAGUGAGGAAUAUUGCACAAUGGGGGGAACCCUGAUGCAGCAACGCCGCGUGGAGGAUGACGCAUUUCGGUGUGUAAACUCCUUUUAUAUGUCAAGAAAAUGACGGUAGCAUAUGAAUAAGCACCGGCUAACUCCGUGCCAGCAGCCGCGGUAAUACGGAGGGUGCAAGCGUUACUCGGAAUCACUGGGCGUAAAGGACGCGUAGGCUGUUUAGCAAGUCAGAUGUGAAAUCCAAUGGCUCAACCAUUGAACUGCAUUUGAAACUGCUAGACUAGAGUAUGGGAGGGGCAGAUGGAAUUAGUGGUGUAGGGGUAAAAUCCGUAGAUAUCACUAGGAAUACCUAAAGCGAAGGCGAUCUGCUGGAACAUUACUGACGCUAAGGCGUGAAAGCGUGGGGAGCAAACAGGAUUAGAUACCCUAGUAGUC
This 439-nucleotide ribosomal RNA is filed under the name uncultured bacterium. RNAcentral describes it as "partial 16S ribosomal RNA". It matches the Rfam family "Bacterial small subunit ribosomal RNA", at positions 339 to 795 of the family's 1533-position model. The record is from RNAcentral.